This 496-nucleotide ribosomal RNA is filed under the name Syngnathus exilis (barcheek pipefish). RNAcentral describes it as "partial 16S ribosomal RNA". It matches the Rfam family "Bacterial large subunit ribosomal RNA", at positions 1922 to 2576 of the family's 2925-position model. Lineage: Eukaryota; Metazoa; Chordata; Actinopteri; Syngnathiformes; Syngnathidae. The record is from RNAcentral.
GUUUAACGGCCGCGGUAUUUUGACCGUGCAAAGGUAGCGCAAUCACUUGUCUUUUAAAUAAAGACCUGUAUGAAUGGCAUGACGAGGGCUUAACUGUCUCCUUCUCCCGGUCAAUGAAAUUGAUCUCCCCGUGCAGAAGCGGGGAUAUUAUUAUAAGACGAGAAGACCCUGUGGAGCUUUAAAUGAUGAGAGAUUUUAUGCAACAAACCUAAAAAGGUAUAAGCGAAUUUAUACUCCCUCUAAUAUUUUUGGUUGGGGCGACCGCGGAGUAAAAAGAAACCUCCGUGAGGAAUGAGGUAAUUAACCUUAAAUCCCAGAACGACAAUUCAAAGAAACAAAAUUUUUGACCUAAAGAUCCGGCAAAGCCGAUCAACGAACCUAGUUACCCCAGGGAUAACAGCGCAAUCCCCUUCAAGAGUCCCUAUCGACAAGGGGGUUUACGACCUCGAUGUUGGAUCAGGAUAUCCUAAUGGUGUAGCCGCUAUUAAGGGUUCGU